Molecule: non-coding RNA, 230 nt
Organism: Pelobates cultripes (western spadefoot toad)
Lineage: Eukaryota; Metazoa; Chordata; Amphibia; Anura; Pelobatidae
Source: the annotation of a GenBank genome assembly
AGGUCUGUGCUAUAUAAAUACCUAGUAAUUAGAAUGUUUUAGAGAGCCGAUUACUAAAAAUUGUAAUGUUAAUUUUCUAUUUGAUUGUUUCAGCCUAUAAUCUACUGUAUUAAGUAUUGUUUAUUAAUACCCAAGCCUUGCCAGCUGUAAUUAUGGUCAAGGAGUGCCCUGACACCUCCAUUGUAAGUAGUCACACCAUUUUUAACAGAAUUUGAACUUAAGUUUUAAAU